AAAGUACUCCCUCCGUUCGGAAUUACUUGUCACAGAAAUGGAUGUAUCUAGAUGUAUUUUAGUUCUAGAUACAUCCAUUUUCAAGACAAGUAAUUCCGAAUAAAGGAAGUAGGUG
This is a non-coding RNA of Triticum aestivum (bread wheat), 115 nucleotides long. The record is from Rfam. Lineage: Eukaryota; Viridiplantae; Streptophyta; Magnoliopsida; Poales; Poaceae.